Long non-coding RNA from Bombus terrestris (buff-tailed bumblebee), 640 nucleotides. RefSeq lists it as uncharacterized. The transcript has 3 exons. Lineage: Eukaryota; Metazoa; Arthropoda; Insecta; Hymenoptera; Apidae. The record is from RefSeq and is a predicted model, not a curated record.
GCAUGCGCUGCACGUCACAUGAACGCAUAACGUAUAUAGACAGAAUACACUGUUGCAGGUAUCGAUAGAUCGUUUUCUUUUUGCGAAAAUCUCGGAGACUAGAGCUGAGCUACGAUUGCACGUGCAUACAGGGAAAAAUUGUUCAAAAUGUCCUAUAUUCGAAAUAUCGAACGUAUCCAAAAGUCAUUGAAAUCUAAGAACAAGGGUCGUCGGUCGCCGGAUUGAAAAAACUUAUCCCGAAACACAAAUCCAAUACACUGAUGAUAUCCGUUUCUAAUUGAAUUAUAACAGAUGUUUCUUACAAUCUUGCAUACGUAGUUGUGAUCGGAUUUUGAGAGUGCCGAUAGAUGUUAGACGUAUCGAACGUGGAAAAGGAUAAUGCGAGUGAAAAAGAAAGAGGGACUAAGAGUCGAAACGUUUGGCUUCCAUAUGAAAUAGUAGAAAGGCACGCUACAAGCUGAGACCUUUAACUGAAAUAUCGAACUUUUUUAUUUUUCAUUUGUGAUGAAUAGAACCUUUAUCAACGUGUUUUUUUUUUACGCGUUUCUGGUUACUAUAAUUUGCGAACAUAUUCGCUUAUUUCAUAAAUAAUAAUUAAAUAAAUAUCAGUAAGUAAAUAUAAAAUUCAAGUUAUACCGUG